Molecule: transfer RNA, 71 nt
Filed under: Loxodonta africana (African savanna elephant)
Lineage: Eukaryota; Metazoa; Chordata; Mammalia; Proboscidea; Elephantidae
Rfam family: tRNA
About the family: Transfer RNA (tRNA) molecules are approximately 80 nucleotides in length.
Source: Rfam by way of RNAcentral
ACAGUGGUGGAUCAGUGGUAGAAUUCUCACCUUCCACAUGGGAGACCCAGGUUCAACUUCUGGCCAACGUA